Callithrix jacchus (white-tufted-ear marmoset) is the source of this 5048-nucleotide non-coding RNA. Lineage: Eukaryota; Metazoa; Chordata; Mammalia; Primates; Cebidae. The record is from RefSeq and is a predicted model, not a curated record.
GUGCCUGUGAGAAGACAGAGGCAUCAGGCCCAAGCAGGAGAGGGGUUUGUCAGAUGGGAGGCAGCCCCACAACUGGCAAGAUUGGCCUUUGGUGCAUGGGGUCUCCCCAGCUGUUGGACCACAGGACCGACACCGUGUAGCCCGCCUUCCUGAGCUCUUUCUACCCCUCUCCUCUGCCUCUCACUCCCAGGGCUGGUGCAUCUUUGCUUGCAUCAAGCUCCUCCAGGCUCCCCAGCUCUGGAACCACACGCACAGGCCAGCACCCCGUGUGUCACAUCGGGCACAAGUUCAGACCUUGCAGGGGCCCCAGAACCUCCAUGUCCCCAAGAUCCAGUGCCCACACCCUCCCGAGGUGCCUGGCGGCACAGUGGCCAGAAGAAGUGCCCAGGCCCAGAGGCCCAGCAGAGCAGAUGCAGCUGUAGACGGUGGCUGAGUGUCCCCUCUCAGGUCCUGGAGACACAAGACUUGACCACACUGGGCCAUUCCCAGCCUCCCGGGGCUUCCCAAACUCCAGGUGGCUCUGAAAGCCCACCUUGAAGGUACAGUUCAAACCCCUCUUCCGGAAGGAGGAAACCCAGCCCUGGAACCCCUGCCCCUACCUUCAUCCAUCCCGUUGAGGAUCUGAUCCAGGUAGCUUUCUCCAUAGCGGCUCCUGUGCUCCUUCCACACGGAGCCGUUUUCGCUCCUCAGAACCACGAGCUCACGGUCUCCACGGCCAUGGGAGGCAAAGUGCGGGAUCUCCACGAUCACAGGGCUGAGGCUGGUCUCGAACUCCUGGCCUCAAGGGAUGCUCCCACUUCAGCCUCCAAAGCACUGAGAUUACAGGCAUGAGCCACUGGGCCCGACCUAAGAUCUGAGAGUUGUAAGCCCUCUCAGGGCUGUGGAUGCCAGGAAAGGGGGAGGGACACCCAGUUCUGUUUCCCCGUCAGGACAGUGGAGGUGGCGUGGCCUCCAUGGCACAGGGACAGGACAUGCUCUCCACGCAGGAAAACCACAGAGAUGGAACUUCUCACCUGCUCCGGCUCUUCGGACCUGAUCACCACCGUCUCGGGCGUGACACAGGGAAUCCUGGGGAUGGCGGGAGAUUCCACCCUGCGAGAUGAGAACACCAGAACAUCACAGAGCUCAUCCACACGUGCACACAGCUUCCUCUCUUCCUCUUGUUUCCAAGUCUCUCCCUCCCACUUUCCACUGCAGAGCCCAACUGCCCUUCACAACCUGGUGGAAGGACCAUCUCCUCCUCCGUAAAGUCCUCCCUAGUGUCUCCAGCCUACACUCCUCACCCCUUUCUGCACCUGUAGAGCCUGUUGACAGAGGCCCCGCUCUGGCUAACAAUGUAUCUUUCUGCAUUGCUACACGACCACUCCCUGGGCGCUUGGAUCCCACCAAAUGAAUCUGCAGCGCACCCAGCACCUGGCCUGCUGUGCUCUUCCUCCCUCUAGAAUCCCUGCUCUGAGCCACAGGGCUGCACCUCAGCAUCCCCCCGGGGACCCUCUUGGGAGCGCUGCUCACACUUGGUCUAGCUUCGGCACAAAAUCCAGCAGCUCCUUCUCUUCAUCGACAUCCCUGGAAUCCUGCCUCUCAGCCUUGGAGCCGAUGAGUUCCUCCCCUGAAACAGCAAGAGCUCAAGUGAGCGACAGGGUGGAGGGAGAAGAGUCCCUCUUUCUUUUUAAAAAGUGCUGUUUCUGCUCCGCCUCUUGGGGCUUGCUCCUGAGGCAUGCGGAAGGCCUCGAUGCUGCAAGGAGACUGGGAGCUAUGUCUUUGCCCAGUCCUGGUCCUCCAGCGCUGGGAUAGAGAGCAGGGCAGCUGGCUCCUGACAUCUUAGAUGCCUGAGGCUUUGCGGGAGGCCAAAGCCACAGCCAGAAGGAACUUUCUUCACUUAGUUCUAAUUCAAAACAGCUCUUUUUGGUGUGCCAUAGCACCAAAGAAGGAACUGCUGCUGCUCUUUUCCACUCCACACCGACAGGAGAAUAAACUACAGUGGAACUGGACCCACUCGUUUCAAAGGCUGGAGAAUUUUUUGUAACCAUGGCAGCCAGAACUUCCUUACUUCCAAAGCCCAUCACGAAGAAGUUCAAACUAUGGGUGAAUCGGCUGCCUGCACCCCUGACUGCCUCUUUGUUUCUCUCUCCUAGCCUGAACUGGAGCUGGAGCCCCAGGCAUCGACCUUUAGGGGUCAUGCAUUGCCACCCAGCAGUGAGCGCCCUGGCUUGUGACCUGGAGCUGACGGAAUGGAAAAACAACAGCUCAUGCAGUUAUGAUCACAAACACGGCAGCAUGGGCACAGACACAGAGAUGGAUGGGCGGGAGCUGCCCGUUGGGGCAUGGGUCUCAUGGGUGUGAAUCCCCUGGUUUAGUCGAGUUCCUGGCUCCAGAUUAUUAGCUGUCAGAGGAAGAUGGAAAGCAGGCAUGGAUUAGUGAGUGUUUGGGUUGCUUAGGGUGAAAUGCACUCUGGUGAAAAAAGACCACAGGAAACAGAAAGCGUUUCAUACCCAUUAUAGUUAUAUGAGCAGUUCCUGGAAAGCAAAGGAGAGCCGAGUUGAAAGAAGGACCACAUUGAAGGCAGUUAAAGUGACAGGCAUAUAUAUUAUCCAAAGGAACACCAGAGAGCUCUGCUUCUCUGGUUGACAAAGUUAUACAACCACGGAAUUACCCGGAUGGAAGGGAGCACUGAGCUGAUCCAGCCCACCCUACUAUUCAACAUCCCCAUCUAAUCAGUGAGGAAAUAAGUUUUGUUGGGGGUAGGAAAAAGGCUAGAAGCAUUCUGUAGUUCAUAGAAGCUGAGACUAUAGUGAUUUCUUUCUUUUUCUUUUAGAGACAGGGUCUUGCUCUGUCACCCAGGCUAGAGCGCAGUAAGGUGAUUACAGCUCAUGGCGGCCUCAAGCUCUUGGACUCAAGCAAUCUUCCUAUCUCAGCCUCCUAACUGGGCCUAGCGAUGUGCACCACCACACCCCGCUAAUUUUUAGUUCUAAUUUUUUUGUAGAGACGGGGGUCUCCCUAUGUUGCCCAGGUCGGCCUUGAACUCCUAGCCUCAAGCAAUCAUCCAACCUUGGCUGCCCAAAGUUCUGGGAUUACAGGCGUGAACCCAGGCACCCAGCCAGAUUAUAGUAAUUUCGUAAUCACAGAAAUAACCCAAAACCUACUGACCUACUGGGUGGUCAGAAGUGCAGCUUAGUAUAAGGCAUUCUGACAGAUUUUGAAUAAUCCCCUUAGUAUUUGUUCAAAGCACAAAGAAAGCACCAGGCAGAAUUUUAUUCCAGCUCCUCACAGCACUGAGAGUUGAUCUUAGUAAACUAUGCUCCAAUUUGAUACUCAGGCAUAAUCUAUGUAAACAUACAUGUAUUUUUGAAACUUCAUGGGAUUUAAAAUUUAGUCAAUAUUCCUUCACCUAAGAUUGUAUUGAUGGAGUAGUAUUUUUGAUAAUAGACAACAGUUAUAAAAAGCAGGUCUGCCCAGUUUCAAUGUUCAUCUGUAGUGCUUGGGCGUGCUGUAAGGGAGCGAAACCGGCAGGUAGCAGGAAGCCCCCUUAGAGGGUGCCCGGAGCCCCUCUGUCCCCACUAGCCUGAGUUCAUUACCCCAACCUUACCUUCAUCUUCCGAGACAUCCAGGAUCUCAUCUACCGUCUCAGGGAAACUCAUCCGAUGCUUAUCACUGACUAACUACAACGAGAAAAAGCAGAGAAUUCAACCCAAACUAGAGCUGUGCACUUUUCCACCAGUCCAGAGGUUCUCUGGUCACGCCUGUAGGGUUUGCCUCAAAUGAAGAAAACAGACGGAGGAGACGCUCAGCCUGGAAGCUGCUAGGCAGGAAGCCCUGGGAUGGGACCCGGGAAACCUGGUUUCCCAUCUUUCCCAAACCCAUCCACCCCGCUGCUGCCCGGGAACGCUGGUCCCGCCCUGAGUCCUCAUGCCACUAGGUGGCAGCACAGCUCCACUGGAAGGAGGACAACCUCCCACCUCUUGGCUGAGGCGCCUCUGACGGGCGUCCUGGAGACCCAGAGUGCACCCCACUUCCAGAGUAACCCUGGGCACGCCCGUGAGCCAGGCUGAGCGUGUCUAGGGUGGGUGCGAGGGAGAGGCAGACAUACCACGAAACUGGUUUCAUCUGUGACAACCUUGAGUACGUCGGUGACAGAAAUGUAACCCAAGCGCUUGGCUAUGGCCAGAGGUGUGGUUCCAUCCUGGGAAAAGAGCAACCGGGUGCAGUCAGACAGGGGAUGGAGUCUGGGAGGCGGGGAUGGCUCCUCAGACACAUAUUGAAUUCAUUUUCUAGUUGUUCAGGAAGACCUGAGUGGACAGACGUCACCGUGGAGCCCAGAAAGAGAUCUCUGCAUGGGUGUGUGCCUAGAUGUGUGUUAGCAGCAGCACCCACAGAGACAGCUUGCAGAGAAAGAGCUACGUGACCAACCAUAAAUGGAUCCUGAGGCUUGAUUUUUCUUCUGACAUCUCUACUUUCAGGAUGUGCCUUGGGAUCCGUUCAGAUUCAAGCCCAGCUGCAGUCGCAAUUUCUGCAACCACAUCUACAAUGAAGGGUCCCUUUUUUUUUUUUUUUUCUUUUUUUGUGAGACAGAGUCUCGCUCUGUCACUCAGGCUGGAGUGCAGUUAUGUGAUCUUGGUUCACUGCAACCUCUGCCUCCUGGACUCAAGCAGUUCUUGUGUCUCAACCUCCUGAGCAGCUGGGACUACAAGCACCUGUCACCUCACCUGGCUAAUUUUUGUAUUUUUAGUAGAGACAGGGUUUUGCCUUGUUGGCCAGGCUGGUCUCGAACUCCUGACCUCAAGUGAUCCACCUGCCUUGGCCUCCCAAGUGCUGGAAUUAUAGGUGUGAGCCACUGCGCCCAGCCAAGGGCCCACAUGCCUUCAGAAAUAGAAGGAGACGUGGAGAUAAUUUCACAGAGCCUCCGCAUGGUCAGAUGAGGAAGCUCAUACUGAACAAUGAUUGCUGAUGUCACUAAAGGUAACCUCAAGUCCUGAACAAUCAGGGACCACCCACAACAUUUAAUUUUGUUCACUUGCACCAUAGUGAAAAUAGUUUCAUGCAUUUAAGAA